AUAAAGAUUUUUUUUAAAAUCACAAAACAGGAUGAGAAAAGUUUUCU
Molecule: non-coding RNA, 47 nt
Organism: Oreochromis niloticus (Nile tilapia)
Lineage: Eukaryota; Metazoa; Chordata; Actinopteri; Cichliformes; Cichlidae
Source: Rfam